UACGGAGGGGGCUAGCGUUGUUCGGAAUUACUGGGCGUAAAGCGCACGUAGGCGGCUUUGUAAGUUAGAGGUGAAAGCCCGGGGCUCAACUCCGGAACUGCCUUUAAGACUGCAUCGCUAGAAUUGUGGAGAGGUAAGUGGAAUUCCGAGUGUAGAGGUGAAAUUUCGUAGAUAUUGGGAAGAACACCGGUGGCGAAGGCGGCUCACUGGCUACGUAUCUGACGCUCAGGCGCGACAGCGUGGGGGAUCAAACAGG
This 256-nucleotide ribosomal RNA is filed under the name uncultured bacterium. RNAcentral describes it as "partial 16S ribosomal RNA". It matches the Rfam family "Bacterial small subunit ribosomal RNA", at positions 524 to 776 of the family's 1533-position model. The record is from RNAcentral.